GAGGGCGCCAUAAGACCUGCUAACUCUUUAAUCUGGGA
RNAcentral lists this transfer RNA (38 nucleotides) under Hypsiglena unaocularus (Islas Revillagigedo nightsnake). Its description in RNAcentral is "partial tRNA-Ser". The record is from RNAcentral. Lineage: Eukaryota; Metazoa; Chordata; Lepidosauria; Squamata; Dipsadidae.